UUUGGUGGGUUGUUGGUUUGGGGCAAUGCCGUGUUGCCACGGUGCAGGGGGGCUGGCUGGACAGUAUAGAUUUGGUGGGAGGAGUGGUGCAUCGGUGGCGUUUCUUGGAUUGGGUAAAUUGGUUCUUGGUUUGGUAUUUGGGAGUUCAUUUGUGAGGAUUUUGAGUCAGUUCCCUAUUGGUAUACUUGGGGUGCUUCUGUUGUUUGCUGGGAUUGAAUUGGGUAUGGCAUCAAGGGAUAUGAACUCAAAGGAAGAAUCUUUUGUUAUGUUGGUUUGUGCUGCCGUUUCAUUGACGGGUUCCAGUGCUGCAUUAGGAUUCGGGUGCGGUAUUGUGCUGUUUUUGCUGCUGAAGUUGAGGGAAUUGGACUGCUUCCAUAGUUGCUUUGGGAGAUCAAACGGUGAAACUAGUCUCGAUCCA
This 418-nucleotide unclassified non-coding RNA is filed under the name Hevea brasiliensis (rubber tree). Lineage: Eukaryota; Viridiplantae; Streptophyta; Magnoliopsida; Malpighiales; Euphorbiaceae. The record is from RNAcentral.